Molecule: ribosomal RNA, 433 nt
Filed under: uncultured bacterium
Lineage: Bacteria
Description: partial 16S ribosomal RNA
Rfam family: Bacterial small subunit ribosomal RNA
Source: RNAcentral
AACGAACGCUGGCGGCAUGCCUAACACAUGCAAGUCGAACGAGACCUUCGGGUCUAGUGGCGCACGGGUGCGUAACGCGUGGGAACCUGCCCUUAGGUUCGGAAUAACUCACAGAAAUUUGAGCUAAUACCGGAUGAUGUCUUCGGACCAAAGAUUUAUCGCCUUUGGAUGGGCCCGCGUUGGAUUAGCUAGUUGGUGGGGUAAAGGCCUACCAAGGCGACGAUCCAUAGCUGGUCUGAGAGGAUGAUCAGCCACACUGGGACUGAGACACGGCCCAGACUCCUACGGGAGGCAGCAGUGGGGAAUAUUGGACAAUGGGCGAAAGCCUGAUCCAGCAAUGCCGCGUGAGUGAUGAAGGCCUUAGGGUUGUAAAGCUCUUUUACCCGAGAUGAUAAUGACAGUAUCGGGAGAAUAAGCUCCGGCUAACUCCGUG